GUUUGUAGGCUUGUACCGUGCACUUAAGUGUAGGAGUUGAAUGAAACCCUAGUUGCAUGAACUCAGAUUCCCUUUGAGAUGGAUACUAGUAUGCUAGGUCGAGUAGCUGCUUUGCUAAUUAGGAAUCUCGGUAGAAGUCGAGUGAUUUUUCUAGCACUCGCGCGAGGUCAGGAAUUGGUUGUAUCCACUUUGAUAACAGAAUGGUGAUGGUCUGUGGACACGGGUCCAUGGGGACGCGUGGUCUACGAGAUGAAAAUUGGAAUAAGGAUUAACGUGCGGAUACCUGUGUCAAGCGUUUGAACGUACUAAACACAUACCGAGAAAUAUGGUAAAUCGGUAAGCCUAGUACCUGAGUGAACCUGCCCGCAGACUUUACCCCUCACGCGACCUGAGACGAGGUCUCCCAUUCCGGUUAUGGUGGGUACAAGUGCGGUCACUGCACGACGGCCAGUCGGGGUCAGUGGGGCAUUGUACGCCAAGGCGGUGAGCCCUGAUCUGUUGCCAGGGAAUCGAUGGGGACGGUUGAUGUGUGUGGGGACGGAGUGCCCCUACAUAUCGUGUGUUUAGGUUUACCUUGCAAGGAUAAAAACUCGAUUCGAAUCGUCUGCUUCUCGCAGCUAAUGAGACUGCUUGAUCCAUUGUACUGCAUUGAGUAAUAAGUGGAAAUGAGGUGACUGGCAAAAGAUGUUGAGUUGUAAAAAUGUUUGAUACCAUGUAUGACUAGUUUGGUACACAUCUAGUAAAAAGGAGCAUACUAAAACUUGAAAAAGCUAAAACAUGAUUUUAGACUCAGCUAGUGCUUUUGGCAAACCAAACCCCUCAGCCAAACAGCUGCAUGUCUAGAGGUAGAGGAGUAGACUCCUCACACCGGGUAAGUCUAGCUGAGUAUUAGUAUACUCAGCCUUGCUUGUGGCACAAUUUUUGCAGGUACCUCCUUGCUUUGGUUGUUGGUGUGACUUGGCCUUCAUCCCUGCCACCGGGAUAGAUGGUCAAGAGGGUUACUGCUUCCGCAGGAGAGGACCAGGAGGAGUAGCGUGGCCAGGCUUCGCCAUGUUGCUCGGUUCUUCUCCGUUAGUUAUUUCCGCUGCAUUAAAAAUUUAUGGUUAUUAUUUCUGAAACUCCGAUAAUGUAAUCACUAAUGAUACUUAUUAAAUUUGUGGUAUUAUGUUUUAUUGUAUUUCUCGGUGCCUCACCAUCGUGUGAGCUGGUGGUAUUCGAUCCUGGAUAAGUGGCUUUAUCGGACUAGAUCCGAGGGACUGACGGGUUAUUCCUGUUUAAGUGUGUUGCUGCCCUUAAGGGUGCGACUUGGGCACUUAAGCUGGAAUAAUUCGGGCGGUUCCGCCACAGCUGGUAUCGGAGCGAAUACCAGUACAGAGAAGUCAAUAAGUCAUGAUUACCAACCUUUUCUAAAGUAAAACUGGCUUAGAAACCAAAGUUGGAUAGAUGUCAGGACGAUAAGUUAGACCUAGGACGUGAAGCCUUAGGAAAUAGAUGGGUAGCUAGGUGGCUAUUUAUAUAAGCCAUAAAGGCUACUACUACUAUUAAUAAGGAUGCUGCAGAAGCAUCCGAUAAAGUAGUUAGGUCUGAGAAGACGACUAGAAUGAGCAUGCAUCAUGAUUGUUGCAUUAAAAUUGUCUCUUGUGCAUCAACAUGCUUCUCUCGUCUUUAUUCCAAUAAUGAGAACUUAUGAAUAAUGUGUUGCACUGCUAGGUUAGGAACUAUAAAAAAAUGUCUUAUCCUGUGUGUCAUGAAAGUCUUGCUAGGUUGUGUUAUGUGUUUCUCUUGCCUUGCUAUCUAGGUGGUAUUCUAAGUGUUCAAACCUUUUUACAAAAAAAAUUGUCUGUUCUGCUCAUGAAAAGAUUUUCCCCCUCCAAAAAACCUUGAGUUUAGCAAGUAAAACCCUUGUAAAAAAAACAUGCGUGUGUUGGUGUUUUCUAACCAUUGUGUGUUUCCCGCUUGAAGUUGCACCUGCACGGCUUGUAGACACCCAUAGCUUGACCCCUAAAUCGACCAAAACUUCCUUGUGCACUUGUUGUGUCAAAACAAAAAAAAACGUUUGGUGUCUAGUUGCGCAAACCCUAUCAAGACCAUGUUUCUUUCCAUAAAUCCUUGCUCCUAAAACGUCAUAGCAUUCCUGUUGAUCAUCCAUCUGAUCUUGUUGACGACCUCUCUUUUCACCUGGAUCUAGUACUCUCUUUCCUUGUGAAUCAUGUUGUGGCUUUAUCAUUCGAAUCUCUGGAUCCCUUAAUGAUUCUGCCCCGUUAUCUGGUUAUCUGCUAUAACCCGUUCUCAAGUAUCGAAUGUUGAUCUUGCCUAAAUCUCUCAUUUCUGGUCAUUCUCAUACCCCCUUCUCCGAGGAUCAUGACGCUUGUUUUAUCAACUUAUCUCUAAACGGCAUAUCCAUGUGGAUUAAUGAAUAUCUUUGGAUCUCUCAUGUCUCUAAAAGCUUAUCAAUCUCGAUCUCAUGGUUGGUUCCUCCUCAUAUUAAAAAAAUCGUAUCAAUCUUUGGCUGAUAAUCCCCGUGAUGAUCAUAAAAUAGUUCUCUAAGCUGAAGAAAAUUCUCAUGUGAUGCUCUUUUGCCAAUAAUCUUUGCUUCAACUCUGGUCACAUUCUUGUUUCUGAGCCAUACUCUCAUGGGCUCCAUCUAUCUGUGCUAUGUGGAAUUCUCAUUGGUUACGUUUGGUAAUGGUGUUAUGACUAACGACCGAUGGUGCCGUGACGAAACCGAGAGCCUACUAUGGUGCACGCAUGGUUGAGCUGCUCGGUACGCGCUGGUAUCGUGGUUAAUAGUUGUGAUCCAUUACGAGACUAUACUGAUGUGCUAUCUUUUGUGUACAUUCUCUCAGAGUGGUCGCUGCAUUUUGUCUCUACAUGCCGCGAUAUUCUACCCAAAUCUAUCUUCAGUAUCUUGUCAGAUCACAUCUCAUAAAUUUGCAUCUAUCUCCAGCCUGGGAGUUACAUGCUUCUCCACCCUUAAAGAUCCUCAUUCGAAUCUCGGGACGAGAUUCUUUUAAGGGGGGAAGGCUGUGACACCCCAGGUGUCACUUUUGCGUUAUGUCGGGAGAUUAAUCCUAAUCUCGGAUGCUCAGUAAAAAUUUCUAUUUCUCGAUCGUGUCUAUCUCUGUUUAUCAAGCUUUCUCUUGGAAGUUCACUGAAUUCAGAGUUAUUCGAUCUCGAGAAACAGACCAUUUCGGAGCGUGUUAAAACUUUUUAUCUCUCGGAACGAAUGCAGACUCGAAGAUCAUUCUCGAAUUAUAAAUCUCAUCUAAAGUUCAUUAAAUCAAACUCUCGACGAUUGUUAUCUGAUCUGAGCCUGAAUCCAAUUUUCUCGAUGUUCGAUCUAUGUCCAAAAAUUUAUCCGACUCCGUACUCUCAAACGGAAUGCUUAAUAUGUCGUCAUCAAAUCAAUUUAUCCGACUCGGCCAAAUAUCUCAUGUGCGAACCAAAUUCAAAAUCCCGUAUCGACAGUGAUUUUUAAAUAUCACGAUUCGCCUUCUCCGACUAAAAAUCCAAAACCGAUCAAAUCUCGGGGCGAUUUAUUUUCGAAUCACGCGUAGGGAAUUAUUUCCGAGCAAAUUCAAAUCAAACUCUCGGUCGAAUUAAUCGCUCAAUCGUCCGUUCGUCGAAACCCAAAUUCGCUCUGUUCUCCGUAGGGACGAAAUCCGCAGGAACAUUUUUAGUCCGAAAAAUAAAUUAGUGCAGCCCGAAUUCGUAUUUUGGGCCAAGCCCAUUCAAGCCCAAUAGGCCCACUAGGAAACCCUAACCCUAGCCAUCUUCUAUAAAUAGGGGUGCUCACUUGGCAAAUUUUCACUCCCACCCCUGCAUUUUUCCUAGCCGCCACUUCCUUCUUCCUUGUCUCUUCUUCCCCCCGGCAGCUCCACGCUCCCUGCCCAUGGCGUCUUCCUCUCCUCUCCCACGGCUGCAGCUGGGAGCUCGGCUCCUCCCCUUCUUCUUCCUCAAGCAGCAGGCGCCUCUCCCCUUCAGGCAUGGUGGUAGCUCCUCCUCUCUCUGGUUUUUACCGCACGAGCAGGAGCUCCCUGGGAGCACGCCGACGCCCCUGAUCCCCCAUUGGCCACGACCUUCUCUGCUCUUCUCCAUGGCCGGCGAGCAGCCCAGCAGCGAGCUCCUCCCCCUUUGCUGUCUUCUCCAGCGCGCAGAAACUUCAGGGUCGCCCAGCUCUCCCACUCCAUGGGCGCGAGCUCCUCCUUCUUCCCAUGGAUGGCGCCCUAAUUUCUCCAGCAGCCCAAUGGCGUCCCUGUCCAUGGCGCCCCUGCAAUCUCCCUUUCCUCCCCGCGGCCAGCAAUGCUGCGGUGCCCCUUGCUUCUUCCUCUCGCAGCAAGGCAGCAAGCAGCCAUUCCCAUGGCCGAGCUCACCUCCCUGCCGCGAGCUCGCCAACAAUCUCCCCCACUCAGACCUCCAUUCCCCUUGCUGCUGCUCGUCGCGAGCUCUCUCUGGCUCCUUCCCCAAGUCCGGCUGGAGCUUGCCUCCUCCAUGGCCGGCGCCCAGCCGCAACUCCAAGCUCCCUGCACCCUCCUCCUCCAACGCCGGCCACCAAUUCACCAUCUCCAGCCGCGCGUCUUGCUCCUCCCUGCUCCCAGCCAGGGCGCCCAGAAAAUCCCCCAGCCGAGCCCCCUCCUCGCUGUCCUCCGUGGUGCCCGCCGGUUGUUCGACAAAAUGCGCAGCAAGCUCCGUCGUCGAUCUGCGCAGCCCCUAUUUGGUUGUCGUUCUGCCUCCGUCAACCUCCUCCGUGCACGUGCAACAGCAGCCGCUGCCCCUUCGCGUCGAGUGUGCCAACACGGAUCUACGCAGUCCCGACGCGAUGUUGUCAAACUCCGGUAAAACCCCAUCGUCCUCGCUGCAACUUGUGUUUUUUUUAGCGCUCCAUGAAAUGACCAAAACCAUACACUGUCAUAUUCUUGCAGCCCCUUGCCGUCGUCAUGCCUCACGCAUCGCUCGUCGGCAAAGAGCCCAAACUAAUGGCAUGCCCGCGCGACAUGAGUCGGCCAGGUUGUUCGCCUUGAAUGAUUGCGAUUUGUUUUAUUUACGUAUUCGGUCGAUGAUGUGCCUGCGUGUUUAUAUGUGUGUGAAAAUAUGUUUGUAUCAAUGGAAGCGCGUAGAGAAGAAAAUGAAGUAGAAAAGAACUCGGAUGUUUUUACGUUUCGAUAGGAAGAUGUGCGAUGUGUUGUUUGAUGCGAAGGAUAGGUUUUACUAGUUUAAACGGUUAGUCGGCAGACUCGAUCAGUAAAGCUAAAAAUUUAUUUUUGCGAUUAAGAUGAGGUGACGACAUGCCGUAGUAGUCGUCGCCUUCUCUAUAUUUUCGAGUUGGAUAAAUACCAUAGGCAAAUAAUUGUUGAUACCCAAAGAGUGUUAGAAACAAGUAGUCGUGCUCUACCUAUUGCGUCAAAGGAAAUAUGGUAUGUUGAUUAAUUGGGAGUUAAGUGACCUUAUAUAGAAAAGUAGUUAAGAAAACUAAUCGAAUUACUUUUAGCUAUAUUUUAAGUUAAGAUGUCUAAAAUGGUGAAACUAGUUUUGUUGGUCUCAUGGUGUUAUGAUUGAGAAAAAUAUGAACUUGUGUAUGAAUUCCUAUGUUUUUCAUGCUGUGUUAGCCAACUCUUGUUAAAUAGAGGAAUUCAAUUGCGUUAAGUAAUUGUUAUAUGUAGGUGUUUUCAGUACUUCAAGUGGUUGCAAGUUAAUUAGUAGACUCUCUAUGUGACGCUAGGUGUCUAUGUAGAAUUCUGAAAAUUAUGGUGCCCCAAAUUGUCGAGUUAGAGGUUUAAUUCGAUCAAUGCCGAUUAAGUGGUUGAAAAUAACUAGUAAAGAAGUUGUAGAUGUAAAACUGGAAACUAGUAUGCAUAUGUCCCCGUAUGAUGUUGUGGUACCUUGAUGACAUUAAAAUGAUCAUGUGUUGCGAGAGGUAAAGAGUUUAGAAUUAACUUAUCGUCACAUGCUAAUUUACAUUAUUAAAGUGUCUCUUUCAUGGUAACCAACUUGCAUAACAUAAGCACGUGAUAGUUGUGUUCGAUAACCAAAUCAUUGCAAAUUGGAAAUGAGAAUUUGUAGUAACUGUCCCUGAUUGUGCUUGAUGAUUGAGUUAAGUGUUCUUGUGCUUGCAAGCUGAAAAAAUUCCUGCAUGUAUCGUUUUGGUUGUGCAAUUAAGCUAGUAAUACUAAAUGACACGGAUAAAAAUUAGUAAGUCUACUUAUUAGUUCCCACUUGGUUAUUUUAACUCUAACAAUUGUCAAAGUGCUAGAAUAAUUCAAGUAUCUAGAACGCGACAACUCUUGAAUUGUAUAGAAGCUGAAAUGUAUUGGUUGCUGUUUUGGGCUGCACGUACUGUUUUCGGUGUGCUGUAUGUUUGAUGAACUAAAUUGUGUUUUCUGUAGAUAUGUGCUAUAGAAAAAUGGUAGAUAACUUUAUUAUCUUGCUGGUGUUAAUAUUUGACAGCCAUAGGUCUGACCGUUUAGGAGUUGUGCUUUUUACAAAUUCAGUAACUGAAUCUGUCCAAAUUCUGUACAGAUUUCAGAAACUGCAUUGUUUGCUUAAGUUAAUGUUAGAAUCAGUCCUUGUCAAUUAUAAGAAAGUUGUAGAGGCUUUUCUUAUCUUGCUUGUGUUAAAAUUUCAUAACUAUAGGCCUGACUGUUUAAGAGUUAUGAAUUUUGCAACUUGGUUGCUGUGUUCUGUCCACCGUCAGAACAGAUUUUGAAAACUGCGUUGUUUGAUUCAGUUGAACACAGAAUCACUUCUGGGUGAUUAUAAAAGUUAUGUAGUGCAAUUGCCAAGCUUUCCAAAAAGUCUUGGAUCACUAUUUUUGGUGGUCUGAAGUUUAAGUUAUGGAUGUUUAAAGUCUGAAAACUGAAUCUGUCCAGUUUUGGACAGCACAACCUUCAUAGUAUAUUUUACCCUUGAUACAUGCUAAACCAGCCAGGGAUAUUUAUAAAUAAUUUGUAGAACAUUUAAUUAGCUUUCCAGAAAGUCUAGGACCACUUUGUUUGGAUGUCUGAAUCUUUUGUUGUGAAUUUUUGAAGCUGCAAGUCUGAAUCUGUCCAAAUCUGGACAGAGCUGCUGUGUUUGCACAAUUCGACCUUGCUAAGUGUUUAAUCAGGUUGUGAUGACAAUACCAAAGUUGUAGAGCACUUGUUAAGCUUUCCAGGAAGUCCUAACUUGCUAUUUUUGGAUUAAUCUUUGAAAAGUUAUGAUUAAAACAAGUGACUGCUGUAUUGCUGUCCAAAAAUCUGCAAGUGCCCCUUUUGAUGAUUGAGUUCACUCUUUUGGCUAAAAAUGCUUAGUUAGCACUUAGCGGACAUAGACUCCUAAUGGCUAAACAUAGGCUAACAUGUGUUCCAUGAUUAAGGUGCUUGCUUAAUGUAGUUGAUUGUGAUAGAUGAGUCCAUCGACUUUGAUGCAUCGGUCCUCUGUUAAACUUGUGUGUGAUGCUUUUGUGUGAUCAAUAGAGCUAAUGCAAAGUCGUAGCAAUUAAAUAAAUGCGUGUACCUGUGAUAUCGUAUUUGUGUUGCGUAAAUAAAUAAAAUAUGGUCGUCUUGUUAAUGGUGUUAAUGAUGAACGCCGAUAACGUGCGAAUAGCUAGCGCUUGUGUAUAGUCGUUGCGGUGUCUUCUCAUUUAAUGGUUAGUUCGCCGCUGUGUCUUUGUAUAUCUUGUGUUACUUUCAGUAUAUUCAUACAUAUGCAUCUUGCAUCUCAUAUAGGACCGAGAGAUGAUGAUCGAGCCAGUGAUGUGGUGCCAACCACAAGAUGCAGUUGGUGGACGACCUGAAGAAUGGUGGACUUAUCCAGUGGAUGCUCGCCAAGCGAGUACCUCCCCAGCAAACACUCUCUAAGUGUUAAAUUAAAGGCAAGCCCCGGUUUUAUGCAUAACCGUUAUAUAUGCUAUUUUACUGCACUUAAUGUUUGUAGGCUUGUACCGUGCACUUAAGUGUAGGAGUUGAAUGAAACCCUAGUUGCAUGAACUCAGGAUUCCCUUUGAGAUGGAUACUAGUAUGCUAGGUCGAGUAGCUGCUUUGCUAAUUAGGAAUCUCGGUAGAAGUCGAGUGAUUUUUCUAGCACUCGCGCGAGGUCAGGAAUUGGUUGUAUCCACUUUGAUAACAGAAUGGUGAUGGUCUGUGGACACGGGUCCAUGGGGACGCGUGGUCUACGAGAUGAAAAUUGGAAUAAGGAUUAACGUGCGGAUACCUGUGUCAAGCGUUUGAACGUACUAAACACAUACCGAGAAAUAUGGUAAAUCGGUAAGCCUAGUACCUG
Molecule: long non-coding RNA, 8256 nt
Filed under: Zea mays
Lineage: Eukaryota; Viridiplantae; Streptophyta; Magnoliopsida; Poales; Poaceae
Description: long non-coding RNA (ZMAY_LNC002316)
Source: RNAcentral